AUUUACAAAAGUUUUCACCCUGAACACACCAGGUCUCACCUGAUCUCAGGAGCUAAGCAGGGUCAGACCUGGUUAGCACUUGGAAGGGAGUCUCCACCCUUUUCAUUCUGAUGCAGGUUUUGCAACAC
Molecule: ribosomal RNA, 128 nt
Filed under: Cavia porcellus (domestic guinea pig)
Lineage: Eukaryota; Metazoa; Chordata; Mammalia; Rodentia; Caviidae
Source: RNAcentral